AGUGAACGCUGGCGGUAGGCCUAACACAUGCAAGUCGAACGGCAGCACAGUAAGAGCUUGCUCUUACGGGUGGCGAGUGGCGGACGGGUGAGGAAUACAUCGGAAUCUACUUUUUCGUGGGGGAUAACGUAGGGAAACUUACGCUAAUACCGCAUACGACCUACGGGUGAAAGCAGGGGAUCUUCGGACCUUGCGCGAUUGAAUGAGCCGAUGUCGGAUUAGCUAGUUGGCGGGGUAAAGGCCCACCAAGGCGACGAUCCGUAGCUGGUCUGAGAGGAUGAUCAGCCACACUGGAACUGAGACACGGUCCAGACUCCUACGGGAGGCAGCAGUGGGAAAUAUUGGACAAUGGGCGCAAGCCUGAUCCAGCCAUACCGCGUGGGUGAAGAAGGCCUUCGGGUUGUAAAGCCCUUUUGUUGGGAAAGAAAAGCAGCAGGCUAAUACCCCGCUGUUCUGACGGUACCCAAAGAAUAAGCACCGGCUAACUUCGUG
Molecule: ribosomal RNA, 492 nt
Filed under: uncultured bacterium
Lineage: Bacteria
Description: partial 16S ribosomal RNA
Rfam family: Bacterial small subunit ribosomal RNA
Source: RNAcentral